Daktulosphaira vitifoliae (grape phylloxera) is the source of this 177-nucleotide long non-coding RNA. RefSeq lists it as uncharacterized. The record is from RefSeq and is a predicted model, not a curated record. The transcript is spliced from 2 exons. NCBI's taxonomy places the organism in Eukaryota, Metazoa, Arthropoda, Insecta, Hemiptera, Phylloxeridae.
GUAACAUCAUAGGUUCCUUAGAUAAAUAUCUUCAUUUAGUUAUCUGGAUCCAACUUAUAAUCAUUUGUAAGUUAAUAAAAUAAAAUAUUCCAACUAUUUCACUAUGGCACUUUAGUAUAGUUAAUUUCAGGAAGACUAAUCAAAAAAUCAUAAUUAUUAUUUCUUAAAUGCAAUACU